This 292-nucleotide ribosomal RNA is filed under the name uncultured bacterium. RNAcentral's name for it is "partial 16S ribosomal RNA". It matches the Rfam family "Bacterial small subunit ribosomal RNA", at positions 505 to 796 of the family's 1533-position model. The record is from RNAcentral.
GUGUCAGCCGCCGCGGUAAUACGUAGGCAGCAAGCGUUGUUCGGAAUUACUGGGCGUAAAGAGUGUGUAGGCGGUGCUCUAAGUCUGUUGUGAAAUCUCCCGGCUUAACUGGGAGGGUGCGGCGGAGACUGGAGUGCUAGAGUGUGGGAGAGGUAAGCGGAAUUCCUGGUGUAGCGGUGAAAUGCGUAGAUAUCAGGAGGAACACCUGUGGUGUAGACAGCUUACUGGACCACGACUGACGCUGAGACACGAAAGCGUGGGUAGCAAACAGGAUUAGAAACCCUGGUAGUCC